AGCAGCCGCGGUAAUUCCAGCUCCAAUAGCGUAUAUUAAAGUUGUUGCAGUUAAAAAGCUCGUAGUUGAAUUUCGGGGUUAGUAGGUUGGUCAUGCCUCUGGUAUGUACUGGUCUCACUGAUUCCUCCUUCCUGAUGAACCUUAAUGCCAUUUAUUUGGUGUUUUGGGGAAUUUGGACUGUUACUUUGAAAAAUUAGAGUGUUUAAAGCAAGCUAACGCUUGAAUACAUUAGCAUGGAAUAAUGAAAUAGGACGUUCGAUCCUAUUUUGUUGGUUUCUAGGAUUGACGUAAUGAUUAAUAGGGAUAGUUGGGGGCAUUAGUAUUCAAUUGUCAGAGGUGAAAUUCUUGGAUUUAUUGAAGACUAACUACUGCGAAAGCAUUUGCCAAGGAUGUUUUCAUUAAUCAAGAACGAAAGUUAGGGGAUCGAAGACGAUCAGAUACCGUCGUAGUCUUAACCAUAAACUAUGCCGACUAGGGAUCGGAUGAUGUUAAUUUUAAUGACUCAUUCGGCGCCUUACGG
This 520-nucleotide unclassified non-coding RNA is filed under the name uncultured Glomus. Its description in RNAcentral is "SSU rRNA". It matches the Rfam family "Eukaryotic small subunit ribosomal RNA", at positions 569 to 1093 of the family's 1831-position model. The record is from RNAcentral. Lineage: Eukaryota; Fungi; Glomeromycota; Glomeromycetes; Glomerales; Glomeraceae.